AACGCAUAUGGCACCCGAGACUUCGGUCGAGGGUAUGUCUGUCUCAGAGUCGGCGUAAAAACAUCCCCAAGGAAAGACCUCGCGUCUUCUCCGAUGGGGGAGCUGGCCCUCCCGGCGCUUCGCCGGGUUGGCUGAAGGUCAGAGACGGGGGACCGCACGUGUCGGACAGCCACGAUUUUGGUGGGAGGACCUCGCGUCCGCAUCAUCGAUCGGGCGUCUAGCUCCGCGAGGAGAAGCGUGUCGGUCGUCAGGACCCCGCUACUGCAGGAACUUUUAUCAUCGUUCCGACCUGAGAUCAGGCAAGAUCACCCGCUGAACUUAA
This 322-nucleotide unclassified non-coding RNA is filed under the name uncultured fungus. RNAcentral's name for it is "partial contains 5.8S ribosomal RNA, internal transcribed spacer 2, and large subunit ribosomal RNA". The record is from RNAcentral. Lineage: Eukaryota; Fungi.